CUCAUCGAAUCAACAUUACCAACUCCUGCUAGUAAAAAAAUUCCUGUGAUUGUAUCCUACAUUAACAAUUUCUAAGUACGCUAAUCAGCUGAAAACAACAUGAAUUUAAAAUUCCAAUUUCCCUGCAAUUGGAAUAAGAUAAAAAGAAUUGACUUGUCAAUAAGGGUCCAUUACACAACCAGUAUACUUGAUGUCUACUUAUUUCCACUUUGGAGUUUGUUUGAAUCACAAAUUAGAUUUAAGAACAUAUUCUAUCUCAUAACACUAUCAGUUUCAUACACCAUCAUUUACAUCAACGAAUCCAUUCAACAACAACAACAUACUCGCUGUAAUCCCACAAGUGAGUUCCGG
Molecule: unclassified non-coding RNA, 351 nt
Filed under: Hevea brasiliensis (rubber tree)
Lineage: Eukaryota; Viridiplantae; Streptophyta; Magnoliopsida; Malpighiales; Euphorbiaceae
Source: RNAcentral